This 253-nucleotide ribosomal RNA is filed under the name uncultured bacterium. RNAcentral's name for it is "partial 16S ribosomal RNA". It matches the Rfam family "Bacterial small subunit ribosomal RNA", at positions 524 to 776 of the family's 1533-position model. The record is from RNAcentral.
UACGGAGGGUGCAAGCGUUAUCCGGAUUCACUGGGCUUAAAGGGUGCGUAGGUGGGCUAGUAAGUCAGUGGUGAAAUCUCCGGGCUUAACCCGGAAACUGCCAUUGAUACUAUUAGUCUUGAAUACCAUGGAGGUGAGCGGAAUAUGUCAUGUAGCGGUGAAAUGCUUAGAUAUGACAUAGAACACCAAUUGCGAAGGCAGCUCGCUGCGCGGUUAUUGACACUGAGGCACGAAAGCGUGGGGAUCAAACAGG